UCCCUGAUGGUCCAAUGGCUAAGACUCUGCACUCCUAAUGUGGGGACCCGUGUUUGAUCCCUGGUUAGGGAA
Molecule: transfer RNA, 72 nt
Filed under: Bos taurus (domestic cattle)
Lineage: Eukaryota; Metazoa; Chordata; Mammalia; Artiodactyla; Bovidae
Also listed under: 2 other names
Rfam family: tRNA
About the family: Transfer RNA (tRNA) molecules are approximately 80 nucleotides in length. Their secondary structure includes four short double-helical elements and three loops (D, anti-codon, and T loops).
Source: Rfam by way of RNAcentral